This is an RNA transcript of Microplitis mediator, 1572 nucleotides long. RefSeq lists it as uncharacterized. The transcript has 5 exons. The record is from RefSeq and is a predicted model, not a curated record. Lineage: Eukaryota; Metazoa; Arthropoda; Insecta; Hymenoptera; Braconidae.
ACCACCCGAACGCGUCAAGAACUUCUCACCAUAGAAGCGCAGCACAUAUUUUAGUCUUGAUUAGUAUAUAGGAAAAAGUAAAAAUUUAUCUAAAUCGAUAUGGAUUCAAGUCAAUCAAUAUUUAAAAUUAAUGAUUUGUUCGACAAUUACGACGACAUUAAAGAAAAAAUGGAAUUAUAUUCGGCAACUACGCACUAUAAAUUUUCGACAGCGAAUAGUAAAACGCUUAAGUCUUUAAAAAAUAUUCGCCAAGACUUUAAUGUGCGUUUAAUUUAUGAUGAAAAGUACUACAGGCGCAGCGUUAAUCCUAAACCGUCAGUUUUGAAACAAUUUAAAAAAGAAAAUCCUAGAUUAAAAGUAGUACUCUGUCCAGCGGCUAUAGCUUUUAGAACGACACAAGAUAAGAGACAUCUAAAAGUCACCCAAUUUAUACCGAAUCACGAUCAUGAUCCGUUUGAUCCACCACGACUUGAAAAAUAUAAAAAUGAAGUGGUUGGGAACAUUAUUCAACAUAAUGAAGUUAUGAGUCGUGAAAAUAAUAUCUGAUGAUAAGGACGGGCAGGUUAUUAACAAAUAAGAUAUUAGUAUUCGUGGUUAUUACGUUAAGUAUAUUACAGGUAUAUUACAAUGAAUAUAGAUACAAGAUACACGUCCGUUUAGGAUGUUGUACUGGUUGAAGUCUCGUCCCCUCAGCCACAAGCUGCUGGUGGAUCGGAUGAUAAUAUAAAUAUUAUUACCGAUUCGCCUAUCGAUUUUGAUGAAGAAUUCAGUGUUUUGUUGUCAAAACUUGAAAUCAAUAUUAAGUCCACGAUUAAUAAAAACGAUCAGAAAAAUAAACUUCUUCAACUCAUCAAAAUGUUGACAUGUUUCGAGACUGAUAAAAAUGAUUAUGUUAACCAAACACUGAAUUAUGGAACUAUACAAUCGAAAGUUGGAUCGCUCUCGAUAUACACAAGUCGGUCUCGUGGACGUGGUAGAGGUCGAAAAAACCGUGUUAUUGGCCUUACCGGAACUCAAACAGGCGAAAAUAGUAAAACAUUUGAAGGAUUAAGUGAUGCUUUAAAAAAAAUAUACAUUUUAAAAUUAAUGUUUACAGAUAAAAAUGUUAUUGACAGAGUUGUUGUUAAUAAAGAAAAAAUCAGAAUGAUAGAUUCAAACCAUCUAAAAUCGGAAAAUAUUCCGGAUGCUUUGGCAAGUGAAAUGAUAGAAGCAGAUAUCGUCAAAAAGCUUUUUUGAAACGAAUGCAUUCAAUCAUUUUAAAAAAAUAAUUGACACAAAACGCCAAAGUCUUGAGUGGACGUGUAAAAUGUGCAAAAGUGAGUUGGGGACUGGCAAUAGCAUAGAAAGCGAUAAAUGUUUGUUCUGGAGUCAUUGGACAUGUGCCAACUUGAUGGAUGAACCAGAAAAUCAUUGGUUUUGUGCAAGUUGCCAAAAGAGUUUAUAAAUUUAUAUAGUAUAAUUUUCAUUAUUAAUUACUUAUGUAUUACUUACGAAAUAUUAUAUCAUUAACAUUCUUUUUUUUUUUUCAAAUAUAAAAUUAUUAUUUAGAUCAUAAUUUAAAUGAUUAUUAAA